GUUGAUUGGUUAUGCACUUUUGGAUAAGUUGUUUGAGACUUAGAUUUAUGUACAUGAAGUUUUUGUUAUAGGGCUGUGAAGUAGAACUUAAAGGGAUUUGGGAAAUUACCAAUACAAGAGGUAGCUUGUUGCGAUCCAAGGGGAAGGAAUUCGCGAUAGGAAUUUACUAAAAUUAUGGCAAAUUUCACAAACCUAUUUUCAAACUAGUAGUUAUGCCUUCCUUAAG
This 226-nucleotide unclassified non-coding RNA is filed under the name Hevea brasiliensis (rubber tree). The record is from RNAcentral. Lineage: Eukaryota; Viridiplantae; Streptophyta; Magnoliopsida; Malpighiales; Euphorbiaceae.